CGCGCAGGCGGCCAGGUAAGUCGAAUGUGAAAGCCCCCGGCUCAACUGGGGAGGGUCAUUCGAUACUGCUUGGCCUGAAGGUAGGAGAGGGAAGCGGAAUUUCAGGUGUAGUGGUGAAAUGCGUAGAUAUCUGAAGGAACACCAGUGGCGAAGGCGGCUUUCUGGCCUAUUCUUGACGCUGAGGCGCGAAAGCUAGGGGAGCGAACG
This 207-nucleotide ribosomal RNA is filed under the name uncultured bacterium. RNAcentral describes it as "partial 16S ribosomal RNA". It matches the Rfam family "Bacterial small subunit ribosomal RNA", at positions 568 to 774 of the family's 1533-position model. The record is from RNAcentral.